GAUAGGAGAGCGUUCUAAGGGCGGUGAAGCUAGAUCGCAAGGACUAGUGGAGCGCUUAGAAGUGAGAAUGCCGGUAUGAGUAGCGAAAGAUCAGUGAGAAUCUGAUCCACCGAAUGACCAAGGUUUCCUGGGGAAGGCUCGUCCUCCCAGGGUUAGUCGGGACCUAAGUCGAGGCCGCAAGGCGUAGACGAUGGCCAACAGGUUGAUAUUCCUGUACUAGUAAGAUAUGUUUGAGCGAUGG
RNAcentral lists this non-coding RNA (241 nucleotides) under Secundilactobacillus mixtipabuli. RNAcentral's name for it is "Lactobacillus mixtipabuli Bacterial large subunit ribosomal RNA". It matches the Rfam family "Bacterial large subunit ribosomal RNA", at positions 1227 to 1467 of the family's 2925-position model. The record is from Rfam by way of RNAcentral. Lineage: Bacteria; Bacillati; Bacillota; Bacilli; Lactobacillales; Lactobacillaceae.